RNAcentral lists this ribosomal RNA (210 nucleotides) under uncultured bacterium. RNAcentral's name for it is "partial 16S ribosomal RNA". It matches the Rfam family "Bacterial small subunit ribosomal RNA", at positions 1292 to 1500 of the family's 1533-position model. The record is from RNAcentral.
UUCGGAUUGUAGGCUGCAACUCGCCACAUGAAGUCGGAAUUGCUAGUAAUCGCGGAUCAGCAUGCCGCGGUGAAUACCGUUCCCGGGCCUUGUACACACCGCCCGUCACACCAUGGGAGUCGGUAACACCCGAAGCCUGUAGUCUAACCGCGAAGGGGGACGCAGUCGAAGGUGGGAUUGAUGACUGGGGUGAAGUCGUAACAAGGUACC